CGGGCUGGGUUCGGCGGAACCCUAGCCCGCCGCUAAAAGAGGAAGAAGACGGGUCGAGCCGACCCGUCUCCUCUUCCCAUUUAAAAAAAAAAGAUUAAUUUUUGUUCUAACGGGUUUCGGGCAUGGGUUUCGACCCGAACCCGGAAUAGGCAAUCCGUCUGCAAAUUUAAAAGGGGCAUAACAGGCAUAACGGGUUCGGGUUUUUGGGUUUCGAUCCGAAACCCGAAUUCGUUUGGCAAAUAAAAGAGGAAUUUUCAGUUAAGCCCCUAUGGAACAUUUUAUUUAUGCAUACAACCCUUCCGGGAUGUUAAAAAGAAUGAAAAUGUUUCUGUUAAGU
Molecule: long non-coding RNA, 337 nt
Filed under: Phoenix dactylifera (date palm)
Lineage: Eukaryota; Viridiplantae; Streptophyta; Magnoliopsida; Arecales; Arecaceae
Description: long non-coding RNA (PDAC_LNC001316)
Source: RNAcentral